AUUGAACGCUGGCGGAAUGCUUUACACAUGCAAGUCGAACGGCAGCACGGGGCAACCUGGUGGCAAGUGGCGAACGGGUGAGUAAUACAUCGGAACGUGCCCAAUCGUGGGGGAUAACGUAGCGAAAGUUACGCUAAUACCGCAUACGAUCUACGGAUGAAAGCGGGGGAUCGCAAGACCUCGCGCGAAUGGAGCGGCCGAUGUCAGAUUAGGUAGUUGGUGGGGUAAAGGCUCACCAAGCCAACGAUCUGUAGCUGGUCUGAGAGGACGACCAGCCACACUGGAACUGAGACACGGUCCAGACUCCUACGGGAGGCAGCAGUGGGGAAUUUUGGACAAUGGGCGCAAGCCUGAUCCAGCCAUUCCGCGUGCAGGAUGAAGGCCUUCGGGUUGUAAACUGCUUUGUACGGACGAAACGGUCUGCCCUAAUACGGCGGGCUAAUGACGGUACCGUAAGAAUAAGCACCGGCGUAACUACGUGCCAGCAGCCGCGGUAAUCUA
RNAcentral lists this ribosomal RNA (501 nucleotides) under uncultured bacterium. RNAcentral describes it as "bacterial SSU rRNA". It matches the Rfam family "Bacterial small subunit ribosomal RNA", at positions 30 to 527 of the family's 1533-position model. The record is from RNAcentral.